GACGAACGCUGGCGGCGUGCCUAAUACAUGCAAGUAGAACGCUGAAGCUUGGUGCUUGCACCGAGCGGGUGAGUUGCGAACGGGUGAGUAACGCGUAGGUAACCUGCCUGGUAGCGGGGGAUAACUAUUGGAAACGAUAGCUAAUACCGCAUAAGAGUAGAUGUUGCAUGACAUUUGCUUAAAAGGUGCAAUUGCAUCACUACCAGAUGGACCUGCGGUGUAUUAGCUAGUUGGUGAGGUAACGGCUCACCCAGGGAAACAUACAUAGCCGGCCUGAGAGGGUGGACCGCCACACCUGGACCGAGACAACGGCCAGACUCCUACGGGGAGGAGCAGGUGGGAAACAUUGGAAAAUGACGGAAGUCUGAACGAGCAACGCCGCGUGAGUGAAGAAGGUUGUCGGAUCGUAAAGCUCUGUUGUAAGAGAAGAACGAGUAUGAGAGUGGAAAGUUCACACUGUGACGGUAUCUAACCAGAAAGCGACGGCUAACUACGUG
RNAcentral lists this ribosomal RNA (497 nucleotides) under uncultured bacterium. RNAcentral's name for it is "partial 16S ribosomal RNA". It matches the Rfam family "Bacterial small subunit ribosomal RNA", at positions 28 to 507 of the family's 1533-position model. The record is from RNAcentral.